RNAcentral lists this ribosomal RNA (1610 nucleotides) under Escherichia coli TOP291. RNAcentral describes it as "bacterial SSU rRNA". It matches the Rfam family "Bacterial small subunit ribosomal RNA". Lineage: Bacteria; Pseudomonadati; Pseudomonadota; Gammaproteobacteria; Enterobacterales; Enterobacteriaceae. The record is from RNAcentral.
AGAGUUUGAUCAUGGCUCAGAUUGAACGCUGGCGGCAGGCCUAACACAUGCAAGUCGAACGGUAACAGGAAGCAGCUUGCUGCUUUGCUGACGAGUGGCGGACGGGUGAGUAAUGUCUGGGAAACUGCCUGAUGGAGGGGGAUAACUACUGGAAACGGUAGCUAAUACCGCAUAACGUCGCAAGACCAAAGAGGGGGACCUUCGGGCCUCUUGCCAUCGGAUGUGCCCAGAUGGGAUUAGCUAGUAGGUGGGGUAACGGCUCACCUAGGCGACGAUCCCUAGCUGGUCUGAGAGGAUGACCAGCCACACUGGAACUGAGACACGGUCCAGACUCCUACGGGAGGCAGCAGUGGGGAAUAUUGCACAAUGGGCGCAAGCCUGAUGCAGCCAUGCCGCGUGUAUGAAGAAGGCCUUCGGGUUGUAAAGUACUUUCAGCGGGGAGGAAGGGAGUAAAGUUAAUACCUUUGCUCAUUGACGUUACCCGCAGAAGAAGCACCGGCUAACUCCGUGCCAGCAGCCGCGGUAAUACGGAGGGUGCAAGCGUUAAUCGGAAUUACUGGGCGUAAAGCGCACGCAGGCGGUUUGUUAAGUCAGAUGUGAAAUCCCCGGGCUCAACCUGGGAACUGCAUCUGAUACUGGCAAGCUUGAGUCUCGUAGAGGGGGGUAGAAUUCCAGGUGUAGCGGUGAAAUGCGUAGAGAUCUGGAGGAAUACCGGUGGCGAAGGCGGCCCCCUGGACGAAGACUGACGCUCAGGUGCGAAAGCGUGGGGAGCAAACAGGAUUAGAUACCCUGGUAGUCCACGCCGUAAACGAUGUCGACUUGGAGGUUGUGCCCUUGAGGCGUGGCUUCCGGAGCUAACGCGUUAAGUCGACCGCCUGGGGAGUACGGCCGCAAGGUUAAAACUCAAAUGAAUUGACGGGGGCCCGCACAAGCGGUGGAGCAUGUGACGGGGGCCCGCACAAGCGGUGGAGCAUGUGGUUUAAUUCGACGCACAAGCGGUGGAGCAUGUGGUUUAAUUCGAUGCAACGCGAAGAACCUUACCUGGUCUUGACAUCCACGGAAGUUUUCAGAGAUGAGAAUGUGCCUUCGGGAACCGUGAGACAGGUGCUGCAUGGCUGUCGUCAGCAGGUGCUGCAUGGCUGUCGUCAGCUCGUGUUGUGAAAUGUUGGGUUAAGUCCCGCAACGAGCGCAACCCUUAUCCUUUGUUGCCAGCGGUCCGGCCGGGAACUCAAAGGAGACUGCCAGUGAUAAACUGGAGGAAGGUGGGGAUGACGUCAAGUCAUCAUGGCCCUUACGACCAGGGCUACACACGUGCUACAAUGGCGCAUACAAAGAGAAGCGACCUCGCGAGAGCAAGCGGACCUCAUAAAGUGCGUCGUAGUCCGGAUUGGAGUCUGCAACUCGACUCCAUGAAGUCGGAAUCGCUAGUAAUCGUGGAUCAGAAUGCCACGGUGAAUACGUUCCCGGGCCUUGUACACACCGCCCGUCACACCAUGGGAGUGGGUUGCAAAAGAAGUAGGUAGCUUAACCUUCGGGAGGGCGCUUACCACUUUGUGAUUCAUGACUGGGGUGAAGUCGUAACAAGGUAACCGUAGGGGAACCUGCGGUUG